UCGCAAGGGCGUGCGUGCAUGAGUGAGUAUC
RNAcentral lists this non-coding RNA (31 nucleotides) under Mus musculus (house mouse). Lineage: Eukaryota; Metazoa; Chordata; Mammalia; Rodentia; Muridae. The record is from RNAcentral.